RNAcentral lists this ribosomal RNA (466 nucleotides) under Penaeus canaliculatus. RNAcentral describes it as "partial 16S ribosomal RNA". It matches the Rfam family "Bacterial large subunit ribosomal RNA", at positions 1856 to 2570 of the family's 2925-position model. Lineage: Eukaryota; Metazoa; Arthropoda; Malacostraca; Decapoda; Penaeidae. The record is from RNAcentral.
ACCCUGCCCACUGAUUUGUUUUAAAGGGCCGCGGUAUACUGACCGUGCGAAGGUAGCAUAAUCAUUAGUCUUUUAAUUGGAGGCUUGUAUGAAUGGUUGGACAAAAAGUAAGCUGUCUCAGCUGUAGAAAUUGAAUUUAACUUUUAAGUGAAAAGGCUUAAAUGGUUCAGGGGGACGAUAAGACCCUAUAAAGCUUGACAAUAAACUUAUUAAAUUAUAAAUUGUUAGUAUAACUUGAUUUUAAUGGGAGUUUGUUUCGUUGGGGCGACGAGAAUAUAAUAAAUAACUGUUCUUUUAAAUAUAAUUACAAAAAUGUUUGGUAAAUAAUUGAUCCUCUAUUAGAGAUUAAAAGAUUAAGUUACUUUAGGGAUAACAGCGUAAUCUUCUUUGAGAGUCCAUAUCGACAAGAAGGUUUGCGACCUCGAUGUUGAAUUAAGGAGUCCUUAUAAUGCAGCAGUUAUAAAGG